This 9044-nucleotide long non-coding RNA is filed under the name Ananas comosus (pineapple). RNAcentral's name for it is "long non-coding RNA (ACOM_LNC021471)". Lineage: Eukaryota; Viridiplantae; Streptophyta; Magnoliopsida; Poales; Bromeliaceae. The record is from RNAcentral.
UACUGAGCAAGAAUAUAUCUUAAGUUUUCAGUUUCGCCCCCGUUUGGUCACCGAAAGCCGUGCCGAACUGUAAUCUUUAGCAGAUAGCAGUUCGAUUUUAUUCUCCACCUUCCGGGUGUCAGAAUGGGCUGAAACUUUAAUUCUAGCCUCAUAAAAAUAAUGCUGACCUAUCCUCCAGUUUUCAUAAUUUUCUGACACUGUGCAUUUUCUGCUAAUUUAUCUGCCCCGUUUCUCGCAGAAAAUUCUAAGUCCUCUGUUUUCGCUCCGAUUUCAGCACAGGUCAUUUCCAACCUAUAUUUUACUUCUAUGAGCCCAAUAAAAUAGUUUCCCACAUUAUUUAUAUUUAUAUUUAUUAUUCUUUUUAUAAUAAAUUCCGACACACCAUAUCGUACCGUAACUUCUUAUUUUCAGAAGUUCGGUAUCCUACAUUCUCCCCUCCUUAAAGGAGUUUCGUCCUCGAAACGAACUCAAUCUAAUCAAAAUUAAACUUCGAAUCUUAAAUCAUACCUCGCUCAAUCCUCAAAUAGGUGAGGGUGAUUUGCCUUCAUUUGAUCCUCAAGCUCCCAGGUGGCUUCGCGAUCGUCAUGAUUGCUCCACCGGACCUUGACAUAGGGGAUCUCACGAUUCCGCAGCUUUCGCACUUCUCGAGCCAAAAUCAUCACCGGAAACUCUUCAUAGCUCAUAUCUUCUUGAAGCUCCGGCGGCUUAUAUACUAGAACAUGCUCGGGAUCAUGCAUGUAUUUGCGAAGAUUGGAGACGUGGAAAACGUUGUGCACACCCGCAAGCUUCGGGGGCAAUGCAAUUCGGUAUGCCACCGUCCCAAUCCGGUCCAAGAUCUCGUAGGGGCCGAAGGGUAUACGACUAGGCUUUCCUCGCACCCCAAACUUUCAUCCAGCGCAUCGGCGAAACUUUUCAAAACAGCGUGGAUCCGCCCUCCCCGCCCCCCCCGCCCCCGCACUGCUCGGGGACUCGAAAUUCUACGGCGUUUAUUUUGAAAUAGUGGCUUUUCUGGUCGUUUGACUGCGCGUGACGCAACUUGGAGCAUAGGUGGAUUUCUCCUCCGCCAUCUCGCAAAUAGACCAAUCAACUCGUUCGCCUACAUAUCGCAAUAAUGGAGAUCGGCACUUCCGCCGUAUAGAGCCGUCGAAGUUGCUCAUGACCUACGUGCGGUGCGAUGAUAACUUUGUUUUAGAGCCGACGUCAGGCCAUCGGUAGGUGCUUAUUAACAACUACCGCUUUGUAAGUCAAUAACACACCAACUCGCAACUGUUCCUCCGAGUUCUUGGAUAGGCCUCUUGGUUUGCCCAUGGUCUAUGGAUGGAAUGAGUGCUAAACUCGAGUCGAUUGCGCGAGAUGCAAGGAGAUUCUUGCAGGCUUCCCUCCAGAAAUGUGGGUGAACUGGGGUCUCGAUCUUGAUUGACAAUCGACUUCGGACGCCCGGUGAGUUCACUAUUUCAUCAGAUAACACCUGAGCAUCUACUUCAGCUGCCAGUGUUAUGUAUCGGUUUAGAAAGUGUGCCUCAUUUUGUCAAACGAUCACAAUAACCCAUCGCAUCCGUGGCACCGACGACGAGGUAAAGCUUACUACCGAAAUCCAUCGAUCUUCCCACGGGCUUCCAGACUGGGGAUAGGGUAAUUGAAGUUUCCCUGGCUGGAAAUCGAGCUCGCCUUAACCUGUUGGCCAUAUAAGCAGUCUUGCCACAUUAAGGAUCUCCAAUAUCGCUUUUAGUCCCGGCCCUCCAUCGAAUAGAGCGAAUUCUAAACUCGUGGAAAUCUUGGUGCGCCAGGUGAUCGGAUCUAUAAGUGAACCAAUGUGACUUAGUGAUAGUAUAAGCAUCGUAAGCCUCUCGUCCGCAGGUACAAACAACGGUUCUUGACGAGAUGCACCUCAGUUCCAUAGAGAAAUUCCGCUCGCCAUCAACUAUGUUCUGACACCGUUUUGGCAGAACGGGUGUCCGCCAGUGGCAGGACUUUUAAUCUAUGUCCAGAGGGUGCUGACACAAGCAUCAACAUCGGCCGCGGAUCUCGGGGGUCUACACCUAAAGAUCUAUCACUCUCCAUUUGACAACAUAAGGAAGGCGUUGUAUUUAGGUGAACCACAAGGCCUAGGUCUUCACAGAACUUCCGGCCUAAAAGGCGCAUCCGGCAAUAUUUGUCCUUCCGCGGUGCGUAUUUUUUACGUUGUUUCAACGUUCCAUUAAUCUUUGUUGCAUCGUCAAUGCCAACCACCGCUGGUCGCAUAUUCAGUCUUCGGGGUAAAUUUAAUACUUUAAGCUUGCAAUCCGCAUGCUGCGCUAUCUUUUCCCGCCUCGCGCUAUCUUCGUGGCACUUAACACAACGCUCUUGCUAUUUGGUGUUAUUUCUAUUCGGUUCUUAUUGGCGUCUCGGCGGGAAUUGUGCGGCGGGCCUCGCGUUUCCUGGGCCCGGCGUAGUGGUCGGGUUGUUAGAUCUCCAGCUUAUGGAGACCAGUAAUAGAUAAUGCUCCAAAGCUUCAAAGCAAAGCUAUCCCGCGCAACUUCUUAAAAUCCCCGCUGAAUGGACUUCGCUCCAGGUUAGUUGUUUAUAGCUCUUCAACUGAAGCGAUGCAAUAAGCAAUCCCUUCCGACCUCUUGCAAUUCAGCCAGACCUCAUAGCCUAUGAUAGGAGAGCGACUCACUGGUAAACGAAUAGUCCUGUCCCCUCGAGUGUUGCGGGCUCUGGUGUGACCUGGGCGUGCCUCCAUUGCCGUCUAGGGGAGCCCCGGCAUCGAAUUACCUUUGCUUCAACCUUCUUCGGUCGCAUCGUCACCCCAAAACGAACUUGUGCCUUUUUGCUGAUCGAGACGGUCAGUAAGUUUGGAGUCACAUCCUAGGAGCCCUCCACGAACCGCUCGAUAAUACCUGCUAGGACACCAAAGCUACGGACGCUCCUUGCAACACAUUCUGGGCCAUCCCGGCCAAUUCUAAUAGCUUAACUUCCUCGGGACCUGUAACAGGAAACACACCCUCGGAAAUUAACUAUGCCCGACAAUGCACCUCUCUCAAGGCAAAAGCUCGCUGAUUCUUUUUCAGCCUUGCGAUUACUAUUUCUCUCUCCCGCGUAGGUUUGAAGUACCGGCGGAAAUGCCGGUGUUCUCCGUCGCUAGGCGAUAUUACAAACUGUCGUCUUAUGAGAUACGACCAACGGGGUCCAAGCCACCUUGGACCACACUCGGUUCCUUCAAGCUAUAAACUGACGAUUUCGCCGCGGCAUUUGUUGAUGCCCAAACGGCAUUCACGUGAAACUAGUAGUGUCCAUAGCGCAGGCGAAACGACGUCUUCUACAUUUCGGCUGCGGAUCUUUAUACUCGGUGAUAGCCGGACUGGAUAGGUCGAUCUUCGAUGAACUCGCGACCCUGUAGCUCGAUCCAAACAAGUCGUCAAUACGCGGUUAGGGUACAUUUUCUUCACGUGAACCUUGUUCAACUGCGCGGUAAUCACGCGUGUAAAAGAUCAUCUUAUUUGGACACAAAUAAUACGGGGCACUUCCACCGGCGAAAGGGGGGAGCGGGGCGGGCGGUGCUAUGAAUUCCUAGUCGAGGUAAGAUUCUGUAUUUGAAUUUCAACCUCUACGGCCGCGCCGAUCUCGAUAAUGGGUGCUUAAAAUCGGGCUGUCACAAUGAGGAGCCAAUGUCAAUCAUGACUCUUCCGGUCCGGGCGGCAUACCCAGGUAACUCGCGGGAAACGUCGGAAACUCACGCUAUACGACAACUCCUGGAGAGGUCGGAACCUCGCAUCAUCUCCACAACGGCGCAAAUAGCUGUGACGCCUGUUCGUGCUGCUGCGAACAACUUCUAUUGGGAUUAGUCGCGUGUACCGUCGCGGUGCGGAAGCUACGAGUUCGUUUGGCACGGUCGAUUAGCGGUGAACUUUUGACCCGGCUCCAAUUGUGAAAACUCUGAGAUCGAAGCAACUCGAUCGACACUAUUUACUUCAGAGCGCAGAUCCAUGCCGCAAUAUGACUGUCAAUUCUUAACUUUUGAGCUACCAACGUGUCGAUCAGGCAUUCACCCAGUCAUCAACUUUGCAAAUGGACAUGUCAAACUCUUAUCUUAAUCAUCUUAGUAUCGUCCCGGCGUUCUCAACAAAGCCAUACAUGCUCCCCCAGACGGUACUCGAUAUCAUGUGCUUGUGCGAAUGAUCGACUAAUAAAUGAGUGUGAUGCGCCUGUAUCAAAUAGAGCUCUCGCUCGAACACCCUUAACCAAAAUUAUACCUGCCACAACGUUGCGCUCGUCGGCCUCUGAAGGCUCCUCAAUGUGCACUGGAGCGGCAUACAUCCUUCCGCUCGGCGCCGAUCGUGCAGGCUCUGGUUGGCGUGGCGCCGCCGCUCGCCCAGUAGAUGCUGCAGGAGGGGGCAAGCCAUAGCGAGCUGGAACCGCCGGGGCCGAUGCAGUCGACAUAACGGGCGAAGCUCCUCCUUGAGGACAGUCGCGGAUGACAUGUCCCGCUUGACCGCACUUGAAGCACCUCCCUCGGCGCUGCUCACACACACCGGGCCGGUGGUCUCCGCCACAAAAGACGCAUCGCUGUGCACCACGACCCUUGGGCUGAGAGCGUGGAUACUUCGGGGGCCUCCUGGAGCUAGACUGUCCCCCCGAACCACCGCCCUGCCUCUUCUUGCCCUUGUCCUUGUCGAGCGUCUCACGGUCCUCACGCUCACAAGCGUUCCCGUGCUCGACCCAUAGUGCGCGAUCUAAUGCCUCCGCCAAAGUGUGAAACUUGAAGGCAUGCACCAAUCUGAACACUCCGGGCCGGAGUCCUCGAACAAAACAAUCCGCCCGAUCCUGCUCUGUCGCCGCCACGUCCGGGACGCAGCUCAGGAGAUGGGUGAACUCCCGCUCGUACUCCCGAACCGUGCGGUUGCCUUGCUUGAGCUUGCGGAAAUCUUCCCGCAUCUUCCUCUUGUCGCUGUCGGGGAAGUACUCAGCGAACAAUAGCCUGCGGAACUCCGCCCAAUCGAUUGGGGGAAGCUCCGGGUGUCGAUCCUGCUUGACCCGCCUCCACCACGUCCUAGCCCGCUUCUCGAAGCAAUGAGCGGCCAAGUUCACCUUGUCCCUCUCCAAGGUGAAGAUGUCCUCAAAUAAAGUCUCCAUAGCCGUCAGCCAAGACUCCACAGUCGCCGGAUCCACCACCUCUCCGUCGAAAGUAGGCGGGUGAAACUUCGUGAACCUCGUGAGCGCCACGUAGCCGCGCUCACGCUCCGCCUCCUCAGCCGCCAUCACGGGCGUAGGAGAACUCGAACUCGUCGGAGGAAUAUCCACCGGUGGGGGUUGCGCCGCCACCGGAACCGAUACGCCACCCACACCCUCGGCCGCAUCAGGGGCGCGAACCGAAGGCGCAGGCGGACCGCGGCCUAAACUUGCCGCCGCAGCCGCCGCCGCAGCCUGCUGCUCCAAUAGCUCCUGGAGCCUAUCGAACCGUCCCGUGAGCGCCGCAACCUGCGCUCUCAACUCCUGCACCUCAGUAGGCCUAGCUGGCCCUGGUGCCACUGGAGGCAUGGCUGGCUCGGGCACCUGUCGAGGUGGUGCCGAAGCGGUCCUACGCACAUAGCGUCUCUUUGGCGCCAUUAGCUCCUGAAACGCAAACAACCGGUUAAUUACUUAACCGAACACGUCAUCGAAAUUGCGAAACAUAAGCGAUUAAAUAACAUCAAUCAGGCGGUAGCUUGCAAGUGUCUUAGUUCUCGACCUUCGGCAUCGUGUUGUCGGCCGCCAACACAAUCACCUUAAGCCAAAAGCUAAUACCACUUGGAUCAUCUCUAGCCAUAACUAGAGUCUCAACACCAACUCCAAACCCAAUCAAUUAGCUUCCGCCGCGUCACAGGUUCACGUCGCACUCACGCACCUAUAACCUUAAGGCUCAUCAUCCUAGAGUCUCCUAGGUCAUCCUAGACUCUCUCUUUUGCUUGCUCUUAACUCGCUCUGAUACCACAACUGUCACGCCCCGCCCCGAGACCGCUACCAAUUUGGCUCGGUUCGGGCGCGGCGGGCGUGAGGCCGAACGGACAGAGUCUCCCCUGUCCGCCCUAGGCUCCACAACAAGAUCAUGUACACAAGUACCCAGGAAACACUUGUAAUCAUACACGAUCUACACAACAACAACGAAGAAGCACAAACAGUGCUAAUACAAACGAGAGCAAGCGAUACGAGUAAGUAACAUACAAGUAUACAAAAGAGAGAUAAACUUAACUAUUUUAAACAUAAAACUUUGAUACAUUAACCUCUUUUAACAUCAUUAAACUUUAUCCAUUUAAUACAACUUGCAUUCUACAUACAUCCUCCUCUCAAACCUCACCCUAUACAUCAUCUACUCUCAAAUGUAAACAUAGGGUAGGACUAAUGCAAUAUAGGAAGCAAACUAUCAACCGACACCGCUAGGGCGCUAUGCCCUUGCCGCGAUCCUCCCGCUCGCUGGGAAUGCUCGAACUAGUACCUGUAAUGUGGGGUGUGAGAACUAACUUCCUUAGUUCCCAGUGGGUUCGGCGCCGACUCCACCGAUCUACCCACUAGGUCUAAGCAGGCAUAGAGAGAUAUAUAUCCAAGUAUAUAUAAAACUAUGCUAAACUGAAGGCAGGUAUGGAAAACUGAUAGUGUAAGCAAGUAAGUAGAGUAUGAACAUCUAACUAUGCCUCAAUCUGAUAACAUGCAUGCAUGAACAAUAAGUAAAGGCUAUGUAAGCAACUAUCAUGAACAACAAUAAUGAGUAUGACUCAAUAGGUAACCAAAUCUCUUGUGAACUCGGGGUUCACUACAACAUCUCACGUGUAAGUCUCAUAGGGAAAAGUCUCACUGAACUAUCCCCCGAGACCGCCUGCGACAGCUAGCGGCAUCCGAGCAGCAGGCGCUGCCCCUCUAGUGACAAAACUCCGGAGUGCACAGCUUGAGGGGAGCGACCCAACAAGCGCAGACAGCGCAAUGUGAGCAUAAUCAAAUCUCACGAACAAUAGUAUCCUACCCUCUAAGGGUAAUCUCAUCAUGGAAUCAAGAUGGUUUUGUACCCAAUCUCAUAGUAUUUCUGAUUACACUAAGGUUCUCAUAUCAUAGGUUAUCAAUAAUCCAAUGCCACUCGUCAUAGUUGUCUAUCAACUAGAUGCCACUCGUCAAUUUGACUCGUUAUCAACACUAGUUUUUAUCAUACUAGGUCUUUUAUUUACUUAAACAUCAAUCAUCGCAUAUAGGGUUAACUAUCAUAUCCUUCUCAUGCAUACAAGAAUCAUGAACCAAACCACCUUAUCAUAUCAUAUUACAACUAGCAUGCAAGUAUAAGCAAUAACAUCAAUCAUUUAGCCCUAUAUGCAAUAUGUGCAAGAUGCAAUUUGAUCAUUAUAUAAGAACCUAACAUAGAAAGUAUCCCGGCUGCUUCGGAUGGUCACCACCCACCUUUUGGUAGUGCCACAAGCUCGGAAACGUGUUUCUCCGCGAUCUUUUUCGUCGCUUCAACUCGUCGGCCAAUCCAAACCCUAGAGCACUCAAAUCGGCAAUACCUCCGGCUCGCUCGUCGGAUCGACGAACCGUCUUCGCCUACGCGUUCGGGAACAUAGCAAUUAGGUUUACAGAGGGUUAAUUGAGAUCAAACCCUCUUAUUUCCAAAAUUGCAUUUUGAACCCUAGGUUUCAUCUAUUGCAAGAAUUUGCUAAAUUGAUCUAUGAUUUAGGCAACAAUCAUCUAUUUAGCAUCAUAGGAUUCCAAUAAAUCCAUUUUUUAGCAUAUAAAUAAAGCCUAAAAAUUCUACCAUUAUAGCGGUCUUGAAGUGCCUUAGGUUUCAACAAUGAGGAAAUUCAUGGUUCAAGCUUCAAAUUCGAGCUAGAACCAUCUAACUAGCUCCAAUAGGUUCCAUUCGAACCAAUUCUAAACCAUAAAACCCUAUCUUAAGGAAUCUACCAUUAUAAGGGUUUUGGAGCUUACCUCUAAAAGCUUCUCAAGGUUGAGGGAGAGGAGGAAGAAGAUUAUCUUCCUUUUCUUGGUCUUCUUCUCCUUCCUUCUUUCUUCUCUUUUUUCCUUUCUUUCCUUCUCUUUCCUUCUUCUUUCUUUCCUUCUUUCUAGAGAGAGAGAGGGAAAAGAGUGUAAGAUGGGAGAUAGAGAACACAUGAUGGAGAAGGUAUGUGCAUGUGUGUGUGUACGUAUGCAACAGCCCACUUGUGGUGCUUAACAAUGCACAAAACCCCCUCUCACACCUAUUAACACUUGCAGUUUCGCAUUCGGAACAGUCGGAGCCCUUCUGAAUGUCCUUUGCGCUCAAAUUCGACAGGCAGGCUCGGUUUAACGUACUGAGUAAGAUAUAUCUUAAGUUUUCAGUUUCGACCCGUUUGGUCACCGAAAGCCGUGCCGAACUGUAAUCUUUAGCAGAUAGCAGUUUGAUUUUAUUCUCCACCUUCCGGAUGUCAGAAUGGGCUGAAACUUUAAUUCCAGCCUCAUAAAAAUAAUUCUGACCUAUCCUCCAGUUUUCAUAAUUUUCUGACACUGUGCAUUUUGCUAACUUAUCUGUCCCACUUCUCACAGAAAAUUCUAAAUCUUCUGUUUUCGCUCCGAUUCAGCACAGGCCAUUCCAACUUUUACUUUACCUUCUAUAAGGCCAAUAAAAUAGUUUCCCACACUAUUUAUUUAUAUUUACUUUUAUAAUAAAUUCCGAACACUAUAUUCUACCGUAACUUCUAUUUUCAGAAGUUCGGUAUCCUAAACACUGCUGCUUCCUCUGCUGAGCAGGAUCGUGGCAAGGGCGUCGCGAGCUAGAGCCCUACCAGACUGAUCGAGUUAGAGGCGUCCUCCCCUUACAGCAGGUAGUGAUUUUUCUUUUGGAGCUUUUGUACAUAGCAGUUGAACUCGCCAGUGCGAGUGGUUUUGUACUUGGGAUUUGUGACUAUGUAUAAAAAGCUCGUUUACUUUAGUUAUUUCUUCUGCUCUAUACUACUGUUUGUAGUAUUGUUGUUUCUACAGGUACCAGUGACGCUUCGUAUACAGGAAAAAUUUCUUGUAUACGGCGGAUUUGUCGGCGUGCCCGGGGAACAAGACAUCCGGGGCGUGACAGC